GUGUGAGGGAGCCACGGGUAAGGGAGGCAUUAGUUAACUUUAGCUGUUACUGAUUAAUGAAAAGCGUUGAGUGUUGCAAGCAAACUCAUUUUAAGUUGUUCUUGUUACAGUGUAAGCUUGCUUUCUAAGCCUGCUUUUGUUUUUCCAGAAUAGGUGUGAGGUACAGCAAGAACACCUUGUGCUGUGCAAUUCUCCCCAUGCCUCUGUGUACCUGGGCUGUUGCAUUGCUUGCUUGAAAGGACGUAGGGACUUCAGGCUAGGAAAAGCUAGAGGAGCAAAGGUAAGAGGUCCCUUGUACUGAAUUGCAGCAGGCAGUUCAUAUUUCUGGGGGGAAAAAAGUUAUUCUGCUGUUGCAAGAGUUGCAGCAGAUGGUCCUGAAGAGCAGUGGUGAUGAAGUAACCUGUUCUGGCCAGCCCCAGCCCGCUGCUCUCAGAGAAGGACAAGUGAUGGUCUCUACUGUCACCUGCUGCCUCCCCAGCUGCUAGGUCAUCAGGCAGUACAGUGUACUGAUUUUGUUCAUGUAAAGCAAAGUUUUUUUUGGUACAUACUCACAGGAAGGAAAUAAAUUAUUUAAGCAGGUGCCCAUCUCCUGCCACUGCCAGGGCUGUUCACUACAGACAGACAUCUCAGCUGCCUGCAGACAGCAGGUAUAGGGGAGUAGGAAGCAAUGUGCAGCCUGGCUGCCUCUGCUGAAGGAUUGGGAUUCUUCAAAGGGGCAGGGUCACAGCAUGCUCUGCCUCCUGGUGUUAGAGCGUGGCCGCUUGUCACUUCUUAUCACUGCAUAAACAGUACAGCAGAUCUGAAGGAAGCUGCUGCUUUGUAGGAAGACAUCCAAGAAGGGGAGAACUCCAUGCUGCUACUUUCGGAAGUGCUGUUAACACUUUUCUCCCUUCUGCAAUUCAGCUGUUUGUGCUGUUUGCUGCAGUGUGCCACCCACAGUACACAAGAAUGCUUCUGAAAUCAAACUUAGGGCAUCACGGUUUAACACAGACAGUUUUCUGUUCCUGUGAGUGGUGCAGUACCAAGACUGGAUGUAACAUUCUCUGUAAUAGGACAGGUGCUUCCAGACUGCAGUGUGAGCAAAACUGGCAUUACAUGACCCAUGGGGAAAACAGCUUCUUGUGCAGUGCAUAGCCCAUCCUAAACGUGGAGCAGAUGGUAGCACUGAGGUCAGAGCAUGGCCUGGCACCCAACUCGUGUGCUCCUGCUGGAAGGAGGGCCCAAGCCUCCUCCCUGCCUUCCCUGCAAAGAGCCAGGGUGGGAGCAGAUGGGGCCUUCCCUUCUGACAGCAUGGGACAUUCGUGAGAACAUCUCACAGCUGACUUCUCCCUAUGAAAGUGCUUUAUGUUCCAGGCAGAAAGCCGAGUGAGUGGAAUAAGACCAAAUAUUGUGGUUUUGCUAAGUAAGGGACCAUUCAGUCUGUGCUUAGAGCUGAGCAGUCACGUGGUCCAUUUAAAUAACGGCAGAUUUUGAUAGCUGCAUAGGGAUAGAUCUAAGGAAAUUCUCCUCGAGCCCUGUCAGCAACCAGCUCGCACCCCAACCAUUGAGAACUGCUUUAAAUAACCAUUGCUUUUCAGUUUGCUCGGGUUCUGGCGUCGUCAAACGACCAAAAGCGCUCGGGGUGUUCCCUCCUCGCAGUAGCGGCUCAACCUGCGCGCCCCGCCCCCGG
This 1669-nucleotide long non-coding RNA is filed under the name Gallus gallus (chicken). RNAcentral's name for it is "lncRNA (ENSGALG00010011254.1)". The record is from RNAcentral. Lineage: Eukaryota; Metazoa; Chordata; Aves; Galliformes; Phasianidae.